UUAUCUCUGUAGAGUCUGCAUAUCAAUAAGCGGAGGAAAAGAAACUAACUAGGAUUCCCUCAGUAACGGCGAGUGAAGCGGGAAGAGCUCAAAUUUGAAAUCUUCAAGGUUCUACCUUGACGAAUUGUAGUUUAAAGAAGUGCUUUUCGGUUAGAGGAGUUUAGUAAAAGUUCUUUGGAAUAGGACAUCAUAGAGGGUGAGAAUCCCGUAUUUGACCUAUUAUUUCCUAGCUUUGUGAUACACUUUCAAAGAGUCGGAUUGUUUGGGAAUGCAGUCCAGAAAUGGGUGGUAAAUUUCAUCUAAAGCUAAAUAUUGGCGAGAGACCGAUAGCGAACAAGUACCGUGAGGGAAAGAUGAAAAGAACUUUGAAAAGAGAGUUAAACAGUACGUGAAAUUGUCAAAAGGGAAGCGUUUGACACCAGUGUUGUUUUCUCGAAAAUCAAUUAAAAAUGGCCGGGAUUUUGUGUUGUAUUGACUUUAUCAGCUUUCAGCACUUUUUUCCUAUCUUUUUUAAUGCACUUUUCGUUUAACAAGUCAACAUCAAUUUCUUUUGUUGUAAAAGAGUCAUUGGAAGGUGGCUUUCUUUUCGGAGAAAGUGUUUAUAGCCUUUGACUUCUGCAAUCGGAGAGAUUGAGGUCUGCAGCGUAGAUCCUUCGGGGUUAGAUGCAUUUGUGCUAAGCUAUAGCCUUUCAUAGACAACUUGUUGACUAUGAUCAGUCAUGUAGCUUACUCGCUUAUGUCAUUUUACCUACGCUUAGGAUGUUGAUGUGAUACUGCGAGCA
This 782-nucleotide ribosomal RNA is filed under the name uncultured Neocallimastigales. RNAcentral's name for it is "partial large subunit ribosomal RNA". It matches the Rfam family "Eukaryotic large subunit ribosomal RNA", at positions 24 to 646 of the family's 3401-position model. Lineage: Eukaryota; Fungi; Neocallimastigomycota; Neocallimastigomycetes; Neocallimastigales. The record is from RNAcentral.